UCCUUUGAGAACUGGGGAAUUUGGUGCCUGAAAUUGCAGAAUCACGGAACAUGCUGAGUUGGAAGGGACCCACAGGGAUCACAGAGUCCAACUCCUGGCCCUGCACAGGAGCAUCAGCAACAGACCAUCAUCAUCGUAUCCUGUGCCCAGGAGUGAUGAGCACCUUGUGGCCUUUGGGUGCUCUAACUCCUCUGGAGACAGCCACAUGAAGAAGUCAGGAAAGAAGACAAAAAAUGACUUUACAGUGGUUUAUUACUGUUUAUGCCAAUGUCUGCACUCCAAACCACCCCGGAGCAAAAAGGUAAAACAUGAAGAGGUGUCAAAAGGUGUCCAUAAACAAAAAGUUGUUAAGAAGGUUGGACUGCAGCUGCCCUGAAAGCUCUUCCAUUAAAAGCAAAUCCAUCUCAUUGCCAAUAUGAGGCAGAAGAUCAUGAAGAAGCAGCUGGAUCCUUACAUGACACCCUAGUGAGCCUUGGGAGGUUUCCUGCAUUGCUUGCCUGACUCCCAGAGUGUGUGAAGGGUGACAAAUAUGUACAGAAAGACUGGAAAAAUAUGGAAGAAUCCUGAUUUGAAAAUUCACCCAGACGCCUUUUUUAAGGUUCCUGACUGGAAGAAUUCUGACUUGAAAAUUCACCCAGACACCUUUUUUAAGGCUCUGGCUGCCUUGCAGGUGUGUUCUCCAGAUCUCCUGCGGCUGUGGAGACGGAGGGGGCAGUUGGCAUUGAGUUUAUUCUGGAGUUAUUUCCUGAUUAUGGAUUAAUUCUUGCCUUACAUCAGUAUUGAAACACCAAGCAUCAUUAGAUGCAUCUCCCGGCUUUCCAGCUGAAGCAUUGCAGAAGAUGGAAAACUCAGGCUUACCAACUCCAGGAUAUUUGGGAUCUGCUCCAGCUCCUGUUAAGGUCAGAAACCAGGAGACAGCAUGGAAAAGGACAGAUCACGGAAAACACCCAAAGACCUCUUCACAUGUGUUUGAGCUCUUGCAGGCUUGCACAGUCAACUUACUGACUUCAAAUUGUGAUAUAAUUCCAGAAGGUUAUCACAGGAUGGAAAAGCAAUCUCAGACUGUGAAGGCAGGGAGGUUCUCUGUUCUCUCAGGAAGACAAAGCAUGGCUAAUGUUGGAAGAUGGUGAGAGUACUUUUUUUUUCAGCUGCCGAGCCAUCCCAGCACAGCGGUUCUCUCCUCUGAGGUUACAGCCUCUCCAAGGGCUGGAACUGCCCUCCCUCUGCAGCCUGAGAACCCAAAAUGUUGGCUGAGGACCUCCUUCCUUCUCCUCACCUCGGUAAGUGGCUACAAGUCAGUGCCGUUUAAAAUUUAAUCAGUCUCGUCCUAACAGGACACAGUUCUUGGAUUUUAACCCAUCUUCUACACAAACCACUAAAUUCAGCCACACUAACUGCCUCCUGACAGAACCUUUAUCUCAAGAACCUCUUAAUGAGCUCUCAUUAGCACAAAUUGGCCCUGAAUAUCUCACCACUUCCUAUCUCCUGCUUUCUCUGCAAUCCAUUAGCAUCUGUUAGCAGCCUCGUUUGAACAAUUAAACUUUACGGUUUCUAGAAACACACAAGAAACACCAGGUUCUACUGUUAGACCUGUGACUUUGAGAGACCUGGGAAGGGAUUCACACGGCCCAGCUUAACGGAGCCCAAAUUCCACCUGCACUUCAUUGUCCUCAGAGGAAGAUUUAACACAGGUUGUUGAUGUCACUGGUGACUCUGCCAGUCUCUGGAUCACUCUCUUGGAGGUCCCCUGGAAAAGCACUAAAACUCGAUGUCUGGUGUUAAACAGGAAGAAUCUACAUCUUUUCCUCACAGCCCAGGGUCAUGUUUCUCUGGCUGAUCUCUGCACACACCUUUGCCUUCUCCUUAGAAUUGAUUUGCCACAGCUGUUUGCUGUCCUUGUUUAUGUCCACCUUGAAUGGCUCAAACUGCCCUAAGCAGCUGGAUUUUCACAGUCAUGAGAUAACAAAUUCUUAUUAACUGUGUUUCAACCACCAGCAGGCAAACUCAAGCUCAAACCAUUCGAAGCCAUUACAAUGGGUCCUGAAAGUGUGCCCCUGGAUUAAAGGCUUGAGGGGCCCGGAAGAUGCUGAUCCCUGGCAGAGGAUAUGGACUCCAUCCCUACUGAAAUCAGCCCCAGCAGUAAUUGUGUGGUGUGAUGUGAAUUGUUUUUCCUGCACUUGUCUGGUGACUGUGUUUAAAGUCCCCUGAGAACAAACAGAUCAGAGAGUUUACAGCUGCACAGAGCUUGUGCCUGAACAUUAAUGGCUACGUUGGCAAGCAGAUGGGAGCUGGUCUUUCUUACUCUUUCCCAAAGAUGUACCGUCUUUUCUUUUGACAUUUUGAUAGAUCAGCAGAUUCUCACUCUGUGUUAUAUUCCAGGCAUGCAGCUGAGAGACAAUUAAUGCCUAUGAAAGUGAAAACACUGCACCUUUAUUCCUUAUAAAAGUCUCUACUGUGUCACAUGUUGUAGGAUAACAUCCAGAACGGGGAAACGGUGGCUCCAUUCAAGUCUAUUGCAAAACUCCCAGGGAUAAAAGUCUCUCAUUCAUAAAGCUGUAAGCACACCUUACUAUUUUUUAAAACUUUAAUUAAUGAAAUGCUCUCAGGACGAGCCAGUGAGAGCAAAAUCUCAACUUCAGCCUUCAUCUGACCAAAAGUCUCUAAUUUGCUGAUACAGGUGUGAAGAUUUUUCUAGGACCACAUAGCAUAAACAGCCUGUUCCUUUCUCAGUGUAGGCUGCCGUGUCACUCCUCACUAAAUUGAAAACCAUUAUGGAAAUAGAUCUUUAUUUACUUGGGGUAAAUAAAGAUCUAUUUCCAUAAUGGUUUACUUGGAGGUAAAUAAAGAUCUAUUUUCAUAAUGGUUUACUUGGGGUAAAUAAAGAUCUAUUUAUUUUGGGGGUUUUUCCCCCAUAUGUUGUUUUAGAGAUAAUACUGAUUUCCUGGCUCUCUUUCAGGCUUCCCCACAGUAGGUUUCACCUUACAGAUGCCAUGUUCAGUAAUAACGGAAUAAUUUGCUAAAAAAUUUACCCUAAUGCUUUAAAUUCGUUAGUUUCUGCUGCUCUUCAAUGCUUUGGCUAAGUUCAGCAAGAGGCUGAGACGGCAAAUUCAGUCCAGGUGCGAGAAAAUGGCUUUGCGGGCUUUUCCCCGCUUGCUGAAGCGGCUCGGGCACUUGGGACCGCGAGUUUAAGAGCGCGGCGCGGUUCUGCCGGGGGCUGUGCGAACUCGGCUCAAGCCCUUUGGCUGCAGCAGCAGAAGUUGUUCCACAGGGGCCGGAGCAGGC
Long non-coding RNA from Melospiza melodia melodia, 3282 nucleotides. RefSeq lists it as uncharacterized. The transcript has 10 exons. The record is from RefSeq and is a predicted model, not a curated record. Lineage: Eukaryota; Metazoa; Chordata; Aves; Passeriformes; Passerellidae.